GUGGGGAAUAUUGGACAAUGGGGGGAACCCUGAUCCAGCCAUGCCGCGUGUGUGAAGAAGGCCUUUUGGUUGUAAAGCACUUUAAGCGAGGAGGAGGCUACCGAGAUUAAUACUCUUGGAUAGUGGACGUUACUCGCAGAAUAAGCACCGGCUAACUCUGUGCCAGCAGCCGCGGUAAUACAGAGGGUGCAAGCGUUAAUCGGAUUUACUGGGAGUAAAGCGCGCGUAGGUGGCCAAUUAAGUCAAAUGUGAAAUCCCCGAGCUUAACUUGGGAAUUGCAUUCGAUACUGGUUGGCUAGAGUAUGGGAGAGGAUGGUAGAAUUCCAGGUGUAGCGGUGAAAUGCGUAGAGAUCUGGAGGAAUACCGAUGGCGAAGGCAGCCAUCUGGCCUAAUACUGACACUGAGGUGCGAAAGCAUGGGGAGCAAACAGGAUUAGAAACCCGAGUAGUCC
RNAcentral lists this ribosomal RNA (451 nucleotides) under uncultured bacterium. Its description in RNAcentral is "partial 16S ribosomal RNA". It matches the Rfam family "Bacterial small subunit ribosomal RNA", at positions 354 to 796 of the family's 1533-position model. The record is from RNAcentral.